CCUACGGGUGUCAGCAGUGAGGAAUAUUGGUCAAUGGCCGAGAGGCUGCACCAGCCAAGUCGCGUGAGGGAAGAAUGUCCUAUGGAUUGUAAACCUCUUUUGUCAGGGAGCAAAGUCACCCACGUGUGGGUGUUGGAGAGUACCUGAAGAAAAAGCCUCGGCUAACUCCGUGCCAGCAGCCGCGGUAAUACGGAGGAUGCGAGCGUUAUCCGGCUUUCUUGGGUUUAAAGGGGGCGCAGGCGGGCCUUUAAGCCGGCGGUGAAAUCGCGGGGCUCAACCCCGCCGAGCCGUCGGAACUGGGGGCCGUGAGUGCGGCGGAGGCAUGCGGAAUGCGCGUUGUAGCGGUGAAAUGCAUAGAUAUCGCGCAGAACCCCGAUUGCGAAUGCAGCGGGCCGUGCCGCCACUGACGCGGAGGCACGAAAGCGCGGGGAUCGAACAGGAUUAGAUACCCCGGUAGUC
Molecule: ribosomal RNA, 459 nt
Filed under: uncultured bacterium
Lineage: Bacteria
Description: partial 16S ribosomal RNA
Rfam family: Bacterial small subunit ribosomal RNA
Source: RNAcentral